GGAAAGCAAUUAGGGCGCAUAGCGGAUGCCUAGGCUUCUGGAGGCGAUGAAGGACGUGGCAAGCCACGAUAGUCAUGGGGGAGGCGCAAGCGGCCUUUGAUCCCAU
This 106-nucleotide ribosomal RNA is filed under the name Saprospira sp. SS92-11. RNAcentral describes it as "partial 23S ribosomal RNA". It matches the Rfam family "Bacterial large subunit ribosomal RNA", at positions 1 to 108 of the family's 2925-position model. Lineage: Bacteria; Pseudomonadati; Bacteroidota; Saprospiria; Saprospirales; Saprospiraceae. The record is from RNAcentral.